GAAAUGCGAUAAUUAAUGUGAAUUGCAGAAUUCAGUGAAUCAUCGAGUCUUUGAACGCAGAUUGCGCCCCCUGGUAUUCCGGGGGGCAUGCCUGUCCGAGCGUCAUUGCUGCCCUCAAGCACGGCUUGUGUGUUGGGCUUCCGUCCCUGGCAACGGGGACGGGCCCAAAAGGCAGUGGCGGCACCAUGUCUGGUCCUCGAGCGUAUGGGGCUUUGUCACCCGCUCCCGUAGGUCCAGCUGGCAGCUAGCCUCGCAACCAAUCUUUUUAACCAGGUUGACCUCGGAUCAGGUAGGGAUACCCGCUGAACUUAAGC
RNAcentral lists this unclassified non-coding RNA (314 nucleotides) under plant metagenome. Its description in RNAcentral is "partial contains 5.8S ribosomal RNA, internal transcribed spacer 2, and large subunit ribosomal RNA". The stretch from base 1 to 105 matches the Rfam family "5.8S ribosomal RNA", at positions 50 to 154 of the family's 154-position model. The record is from RNAcentral.